Molecule: transfer RNA, 72 nt
Filed under: Agaricus bisporus var. burnettii JB137-S8
Lineage: Eukaryota; Fungi; Basidiomycota; Agaricomycetes; Agaricales; Agaricaceae
Description: tRNA-Und (NNN) (tRNA-Und-NNN-1-1)
Rfam family: tRNA
About the family: Transfer RNA (tRNA) molecules are approximately 80 nucleotides in length. Their secondary structure includes four short double-helical elements and three loops (D, anti-codon, and T loops). Further hydrogen bonds mediate the characteristic L-shaped molecular structure. tRNAs have two regions of fundamental functional importance: the anti-codon, which is responsible for specific mRNA codon recognition, and the 3' end, to which the tRNAs corresponding amino acid is attached (by aminoacyl-tRNA synthetases). tRNAs cope with the degeneracy of the genetic code in two manners: having more than one tRNA (with a specific anti-codon) for a particular amino acid; and 'wobble' base-pairing, i.e. permitting non-standard base-pairing at the 3rd anti-codon position.
Source: Rfam by way of RNAcentral
GAUCAUAUAGCUCAGUGGUUAGAGCUUCCUAGUGCAUUGGGAUGGUCCCAGGUUCAAACCCUGGUGUGGUCA